GGAGAGGUGGCAGAGCGGUCGAAUGCGCACGCUUGGAGAGCGUGUUACCAGAAAUGGUACCAGGGUUCGAAUCCCUGCCUCUCCG
RNAcentral lists this transfer RNA (85 nucleotides) under Candidatus Omnitrophota bacterium. RNAcentral describes it as "Candidatus Omnitrophica bacterium tRNA-Ser". It matches the Rfam family "tRNA". Rfam says of the family: Transfer RNA (tRNA) molecules are approximately 80 nucleotides in length. Their secondary structure includes four short double-helical elements and three loops (D, anti-codon, and T loops). The record is from RNAcentral. Lineage: Bacteria; Pseudomonadati; Candidatus Omnitrophota.